CAGGCGCUUCCAAAGUGGAUGGUUCCAGCUCAUGGUUGACAGUCUUGGUCUCAGGGCUGGUGAUGGGAGAUCCAUCUGGUGGAGGCGAGGGGCUUUUAUUUGCUUUCGCUGGGGUGCUGUCACUGCUCAUCUUUUUCCUCAGCCUGGCGAACAGUUUAGUUUUCUUUCUGGGCUGUGCUUUAAUGGGAAAGGCAUUGCCUGAGUACUGCUUGUCUAGACCCAGCAGGACGUCAUGG
This 236-nucleotide long non-coding RNA is filed under the name Gallus gallus (chicken). Lineage: Eukaryota; Metazoa; Chordata; Aves; Galliformes; Phasianidae. The record is from RNAcentral.